Molecule: ribosomal RNA, 752 nt
Filed under: Galerina calyptrata
Lineage: Eukaryota; Fungi; Basidiomycota; Agaricomycetes; Agaricales; Galerinaceae
Description: eukaryotic LSU rRNA
Rfam family: Eukaryotic large subunit ribosomal RNA
Source: RNAcentral
CCCUAGUAACUGCGAGUGAAGCGGGAAAAGCUCAAAUUUAAAAGCUGGUAGUCUCAGGCUGCCCGCGUUGUAAUCUAGAGAAGUGUUAUCCGCGCUGGACCGUGUACAAGUCUCCUGGAAUGGAGCGUCAUAGAGGGUGAGAAUCCCGUCUUUGACACGGACUGCCAGGGCUUUGUGAUGCGCUCUCAAAGAGUCGAGUUGUUUGGGAAUGCAGCUCAAAAUGGGUGGUAAAUUCCAUCUAAAGCUAAAUAUUGGCGAGAGACCGAUAGCGAACAAGUACCGUGAGGGAAAGAUGAAAAGAACUUUGGAAAGAGAGUUAAACAGUACGUGAAAUUGCUGAAAGGGAAACGCUUGAAGUCAGUCGCGUUGUCCGGGGAUCAACCUUGCUUUUGCUGGGCGUAUNCUCCGGUUGACGGGCCAGCAUCAAUUUUGGCCACUGGAAAAAGGCCAGGGGAAUGUGGCAUCUUCGGAUGUGUUAUAGCCCUUGGUUGCAUACAGUGGCUGGGAUUGAGGAACUCAGCACGCCGCAAGGCCGGGUUUUAACCACGUUCGUGCUUAGGAUGCUGGCAUAAUGGCUUUAAUCGACCCGUCUUGAAACACGGACCAAGGAGUCUAACAUGCCUGCGAGUGUUUGGGUGGAAAACCCGAGCGCGUAAUGAAAGUGAAAGUUGAGAUCCCUGUCGUGGGGAGCAUCGACGCCCGGACCAGACCUUUUGUGACGGAUCUGCGGUAGAGCAUGUAUGUUGGGACCC